UCUUGACAUCCUUAUGACCUCCCUAGAGAUAGGGAUUUCCCUUCGGGGACAUAAGUGACAGGUGGUGCAUGGUUGUCGUCAGCUCGUGUCGUGAGAUGUUGGGUUAAGUCCCGCAACGAGCGCAACCCUUGAUCUUAGUUGCCAGCAUUUAGUUGGGCACUCUAAGGUGACUGCCGGUGACAAACCGGAGGAAGGUGGGGAUGACGUCAAAUCAUCAUGCCCCUUAUGACCUGGGCUACACACGUGCUACAAUGGAUGGUACAAAGGGCAGCGAAGCCGCGAGGUGGAGCCAAUCCCAUAAAGCCAUUCUCAGUUCGGAUUGUAGGCUGCAACUCGCCUACAUGAAGCCGGAAUUGAUAGUAAUCGCGGAUCAGCAUGCCGCGGUGAAUACGUUCCCGGGCCUUGUACACACCGCCCGUCACACCACGAGAGUUUGUAACACCCGAAGUCGGUGGGGUAACCUUUUGGAGCCAGCCGCCUAAGGUGGGACAGA
This 493-nucleotide ribosomal RNA is filed under the name uncultured Bacillus sp. RNAcentral describes it as "bacterial SSU rRNA". It matches the Rfam family "Bacterial small subunit ribosomal RNA", at positions 979 to 1471 of the family's 1533-position model. Lineage: Bacteria; Bacillati; Bacillota; Bacilli; Caryophanales; Bacillaceae. The record is from RNAcentral.